Molecule: ribosomal RNA, 507 nt
Filed under: uncultured bacterium
Lineage: Bacteria
Description: partial 16S ribosomal RNA
Rfam family: Bacterial small subunit ribosomal RNA
Source: RNAcentral
GACGAACGCUGGCGGCGUGCCUAAUACAUGCAAGUCGAACGCAUUUUCUUUCACCGUAGCUUGCUACACCGAAAGAAAAUGAGUGGCGAACGGGUGAGUAACACGUGUGUAACCUGCCCAUCAGCGGGGGAUAACACUUGGAAACAGGUGCUAAUACCGCAUAAUUUCAUUUACUGCAUGGUAGAUGGAUGAAAGGCGCUUUUGCGUCACUGAUGGAUGGACCCGCGGUGCAUUAGCUAGUUGGUGGGGUAACGGCCUACCAAGGCUGCGAUGCAUAGCCGACAUGAGAGGAUGAUCGGCCACACUGGGACUGAGACACGGCACAGACGCCUACGGGAAGCAGCAGUAGGGAUUCGUCGGCAAUGGACGCAAGUCUGACCGAGAUGCGCCGAGUGAGUAAGGAAGGUUGUCGGAUCGUAGAACACUGUUGUUAGAAAAGAACAAGGAUGAGAGUGGAAAGUUCAUCCCUUGACGGUAACUAACCAGAAAGCCACGGCUAACUACGUG